ACUCCAGUUGAUCCUGCUGGAGGGUACUGCUAUCAGAGUACGAUUAAGCCAUGCAAGUCAGUUCAGCCACCUGGCUGGACGGCGUACGGCUCAGUAACAUGUAGUCAAUCUGCCCUUUGGGCGGGGAUAUCCUCGGGAAACUGAGGUCAAUACCCGAUAGCCCAUCUAUGCUGGAAUGCUUGAUGGGUUAAAUGCGCAGCGAAUUGGAGCUGUGGCACCAAAGGAUGAGACUGCACCUGAUUACAAGCCGAUAAUCAGUAGGGGCAAUGGGAGUUGGAGCCCCGAGAAGGGCACUGAGACAAGGGCCCUAGUCCUACGGGAUGCAGCAGGCGCGAAACCUUUGCAAUGCGCGCAAGCGUGACAGGGGAACUCUGAGUGGUAGAGGGAUAUAUCUUUCUAUCUUUUGGCAACUGUAAACAGGUUGCAGAAUAAGAUCUGGGUAAGACCAGUGCCAGCCGCCAUAUGCCUAAUCGCAUAAGGUAAACGGUACGCGGUAAUACUGGCAGAUCGAGUGGUAUCCACGAAUAUUGGGUCUAAAGAGUCCGUAGCUGGUCUGUUAAGUCCGCUGUGAAAUCUUGAGGCUUGACCUCAAGGCGUGCAGUGGAUACUGGCAGGCUCGAGAGCGGGGGAGGUUGGGAGUACUCACGGGGUAGUGGUAAAAUACGUUGAUCCUGUGAGGACUACCAGUGGCGAAGGCGCCCAACCAAAACGCGUCUGACAGUGAGGGACGAAGGCUAGGAGAACGAAUCGGAUUAGAUACCCGAGUAGCCCUAGCAGUAAAUUAUGCGGACUGUGGUGUUGCGCCCGCUUCGAGCGGGUGCAGUGCUGUAGCGAAGGUGUUAAGUCCGCCACCUGGGGAGUACGGCCGCAAGGUUGAAACUUAAAGGAAAGAACAUAGGCGAUUUUCAGCACUGGCAAGUUACUCUCGUAACUUUUAUAAGCCAAAAAACCGAAGCUCAUUGCAUGAACCAGAAAAUAUGUUAUCUAUUGGGGGCAUUGCGCGAUGGGACGUUUGAUGUCCGGCAGGGAAAAAAUUAUGAACUGCGGAUUUACCAAGACGAUGGAAAAUGGCUGGAUUUUGUUUCAAAAAUAUUGGAGCAGAAUUUCGGCUUGAAACCACAUAAGAUUGGUAAAUUGCUCAGAUUGUCCAACAAGAAAGUUGUUGGGAAAAUACUGAAGAUAUCGGAAUAUGUGAAGCCGCAGAAAAUGUGGUUUACGCCAUCGUGUAUAAAAGGGAGUUCCCAAGAAAAAAUCUGGUGGUAUGUGAGCGGCUUCUGGGAUGCAGAAGGGGGAUUGCCAGAAAAUCCAACUAUGCAAACACAGAACUACGUUUCGUUUGACCAGAAAAAUAAGGAGUCUUUGGAAUUUGUGAGGAACUUUCUUAUUUCAGAUGGAUUCAGACCAACAAAUUUGACGUAUACCGGGAAUGUUUGGCAAUUUAGGCUGACUAGAAAAGAAAGCGUCAGGAAAUUUAUAGAGAGAAUUCAUUGUUUUCAUGGGGGAAAACUUGCUAGGCUGAAGAAAUUAUACGCCUGUGUUCCCUGAAUUGGCGGGGGAGCACCACAAGGGGUGGAUGCUGCGGUUCAAUUGGAUACAACGCCGGGAACAUUACCAGGGGCGACGGCAGGAUGAAGGUCAGACUGAAGAUCUUGCCUAACGAGCCGAGAGGUGCUGCAUGGCCAUCGUCAGCUCGUGGUGCGAACUGUCAGGUUAAGUCCUGUAACGAGCGAGACCCUCGCGCACUGUUGCGAAUUUCCCCUCCGGGGGAGAUGCACUCUGUGCGGACUGCCCGCGUUAAGUGGGAGGAAGAUGGGGGCGACGGUAGAUAUGCACCUUGGUCAGUAAAAUUAUAAACCUUGGUCCGUAAAAUUGAACAUGCCAAAAAGCCACCUUGAUUAGAAAUCGCUGAAGACGCUUUACGAGGAAUUCUCCAAAGAGAAGAGCCUAGUGGAUGCCGUGAUGAGAAAGCCAGAAUAUAUAACCAUAAUCCGGCUUUCAAACGGGCAAAGCCAGACAAGCUAUGAGAAUAGCAUUGGAAUGGCUAAAAACAUCUACAAAUACGAGACGGGAAAAAUAAGGCCGGCUGAAAAGACGGCAAGAAAAUUCCUGCUUGGUUUCAAAGGCAUUUCUUCCUGGGAGCAGAUUCUGGGGCGUUUUGUAAAAUUCUCUUCUGAGUCUAGGGGCUGGUUUGCUGCAAACAGCAGCAGCCAAAAAGCAAUGCGUGCAAGGAAGAAGGGCGCGCAAAGCUACAUGAAAAUAGGGAAGCCUACGACGCAGGAGAGCGAAAUUUCUGCAAUCAUUGCAAACCUAAAGCUUGAGUCCGAAAGGGACUUUCGUAUUGGGGGCGUGUUUGUGGAUUUUUACAUCCCUAAACUGAAGCUUGCUGUGGAAUGCAAACGGCUCACAACAAGAAACAGGAGGGAGCAGAUGAAAAAAGUCAAGGAGGCGGCGCUGCAAGGCUAUAAGGUCAAGUUCCACAACAGAAAUGUGAAGCUUGCGAUAGUUUUGGAAAGCCCGCUAGGGCUGAGCGCAACUGAACGGCAUGAAUUAUGCGGACCAUACGAUUUUGCAUGUGAAAGCAUGCGCCAAAUUGGCGAUAUUAUAAAUGACCAAGAUGUGUAACCGAAGUCAGUAUGGCCUGAAUCUCCUGGGCUACACGUGGCAUACAAUGGCAAAGACAAUGGGCGGCGACUCCGAAAGGAGAAGCUAAUCUCACAAACUUUGCCUCAGUUCGGAUUGAGGGUUGAAACUCACCCUCAUGAAGCUGGAAUCCCUAGUAAUCGCUUGUCAACAUCGAGCGGAUGAAGACAUACCUUAUAAACAAUAAAAAUGAAAUGCA
Molecule: ribosomal RNA, 2839 nt
Filed under: Microcaldota archaeon
Lineage: Archaea; Nanobdellati; Microcaldota
Description: bacterial SSU rRNA
Rfam family: Archaeal small subunit ribosomal RNA (bases 1-1847)
Source: RNAcentral